Molecule: long non-coding RNA, 5356 nt
Filed under: Podarcis lilfordi (Lilford's wall lizard)
Lineage: Eukaryota; Metazoa; Chordata; Lepidosauria; Squamata; Lacertidae
Source: RNAcentral
AGGUUGGCAGAAGCUGGGAUAAAGUGAUGGUGCUGUGGUCUAAACCGCUGAGCCUCUUGGGCUUGCUGAUCAGAAGGUCGGCGAUUCAAAUCCAUGUGAUGGGAUGAAGUGCUGUCUCUUCUAUAUAUCCAGAAAUGUGCUCGUGAAGGUAAGUGGUUUUGUUUUUGCUUUGGUGAGGCUUUUAUUGAGCGAUGGCUCUUGAUAGUACAGAUUUUAUAAGCAUUUCCCAACACUAGAAAAAAAAUGGCUGCCUAGGUCCUGGGGUGGCAGUGAAUGAGAAAUAAAGUAGAAUCAACACCAUGCCUAAUAGCAGGCAGAUCCAAAAUAAGUGAUGCUCAACAAGAUUCAGCCUUGAAGCGUGAGAUCUAGCCACAGACUGGAAAAACCCACAGCCAUUCUCCAAUGGACCAGAUGGGUACUUCAUGUUUAUAUCUAUACCACUCUUUGGCCAAGGCCCCCAAGGCAGUGAACAGACAAAUACAAAACAGGGGGAAAUGCUAAACCAAAGUGCAAUACAAUCAGUCAAUAAGAACCUUCUUCUUUAGCGAUCUCUUGUAGCCGAGUAAGAUUGUCUUCCAUAAACACAGUUUUAACAAUGAGUCUGUAAGUGACUGUGGAGGCCAAUUCUGGAUCCACACGUCCUUCCACAGUGGGGACAUUGGUUUCCGGGCAGGAGUUGAUCAUGAGGGUUUUCCAAGAGUGCCUCCCUCUUAGCAUGUUUCUCCCUUUUGUCCUGAGUUUGAGUGUCUUCAAAGCCCAUGACACCUUUGGUAAAGGCUGCUCUCCAAUUGGAGUGCUUGCAGGCCAGUGUUUCCCAGUUGUCGGUGUUUAUACUAAUUUUUUUUAGAUUUGCCUUGAGACAGUCUUUAAACCUCGCAGUUAUAAGAAUACAAAACAGCAACAGCAAAGGCGCACCACAAACAACACAUUACACAUUCAUGACUUGAAUAUGUGCUUCCACCACAAACACAAGGGUGUCCAGAAACAACUGGUUUCCAGGGUGAGGCUGGCUGGGUUCACCUUCUGGCACCUCAACAGGUAGCAGUUUUCUAGUCCCAGGCACAACAGCAGGUGCAGUAAAGAGGGGCUGGGGUGGCUGAAGUAGGAAUCUACCUCCAAGCCAGAAAAUGGUCCUAUUACUGCUACUUGCCACAUGUUGGGUGGCUUUGAGCAUGGUCAUUUCCCACUUCUCAUCCCACCCCAUGUAGCAUGUUGCACACAGUGAGCAGUUCAUCUGAACCACCCACCAUGUGCACAACCUGUGAAAUCCCACAUCAUAUGUGGAGAAAACUUGUGCUCAUGGCAAAUAAGGGAGGAUAGUUCAGUCACCAGGUGCACUGGGCAGUUCAGCUUAAGGCAGAAAAAGUCAACACUAGUCAAAACAAGUGCAGCCCAGGCUAUUCUGCUUUCCAACUUUGGAAAGGUCCUUGCAGACAUGCUUCCUGACAUCUUGCCACACUAAAAAUGUGCCACAGCAGAACUGGAGACCUUUGACCUGCCUAAAUUGCACCUGCUCAAUAAGCUACAACAGCCGGUCCACCAUGCAGAGUGGUUGUGUUAGUUGAUCUGCAGAGAUUAUUUCUUCACAUCCUUGGGUGAGCAUGGAUUAGUUUUCUGGACUGUGCCAAGGAAAGUGCUUUUGCAUGGGUUUGGGAGGAGGUGGGAUGGCUGGCCCAUGAAAGAACUGGAAUGAAGGGCACUCUUAAUGGGAUGGUGAGAUUCCAGGUAUUCUUUCCCCUUGAAUCAUAGGGUAUGAAUAGAACCACAGAACUGUAGAGUUGGAAGGGGACCAUGAGGACUGAAGAAGUAGCUAGAGCUAGAGAAAGAGAGCAGUACAAGCAGAAUUCAAGACACACAAAAUACACACUUUAAAGGAAACACUGAAGACACUCACAGAUACUUAAAGCAUAUUUAGGAUGCUUUUCCUAAAUGAAGACAUCAUUUCCUCCCACCAUGUAGGAAAAAUAUAAUAUUUUAUUUAUUUAAAAACUACAUUUUGAAUGUCUCCCAGGGAACUAUUGUUACUGGAAGUUAAGAAGGUGGAACUGAGGAGGUCACAUGGGUGUGGUCAAAGGCGUGGUCACAAAAACACUGCUGUUGUAUAAGCACUUAGUGCCUAACUAAACCGAAAAGUGUCUAACCUUGGCUUAGAAGCAGUCCCUCCUGUCACAGUUUGUCGUGUGACAGGUAAUGUCACAAUAGCCACACAUUACUCAGAAGUAAGGUAAAGGUGAAGGGACCCCUGACCAUUAGGUCCAGUCGUGGCCGAUCCUGGGGUUGCGGUGCUCUUCUUGCUUUAUUGGCCAGGGGAGCCGGCGUACAGCUUCCGGGUCAUGUGGCCAGCAUGACUAAGCCGCUUCUGGCGAACCAGAGCAGCGCACAGAAACGCCAUUUACCUUCCCGCCGGAGCGGUACCUAUUUAUCUACUUUUACUUUGAUGUGCUUUCGAACUGCUAGGUGGGCAGGAGCAGGGACCAAGCAACGGGAGCUCACUCCGUCGUGGGGAUUUGAACCACCGACUUUCUGAUCAGCAAGCCCUAGGCUCUGUGGUUUAACCCACAGCGCCAUGUCUAACCUUGGCUUAGAAGCAGUCCCUCCUGUCACAGUUUGUAGUGUGACAGGUAAUGUCUAAUAGCCACACAUUACUCAGAAGUAAGCCCCACUAAAUUCCUUGGGGAUGGUCCCCAGAUGGGAGUGGAGCCUAAAAGGUACCACACAGAACUUGUACGCACAAUAGCUUCAUGCAUAUGUUGUGUGGAGGCUGGUUCAUGAGGGCUGCUCUGCCAACCUCAGUCAGUCCUCAGUCAGAUCCAACCUGCCAGUUUUGCUACUUCUUCCAGGCCAGUGGCAACAUCCUGCUCUUUAGGCUCUGUGUUGUCCUUGUGAAAUUCACCAGAGAGGAGGGAGAUGGGGACAGAAUGAGAACGAGUUGGCUCUGCCUAUCAUUGUCUCUGGUUCUGCUACCCUCCGUCUCCCUACUUUCCACUCUACCAAUCCCGCCACUGGCUUUGAGUCCAGACCAGAGCUUCUUGGCCAUAUGCCUCAGAGCUGCACCCAUAGGAGGACUCUGGGUCAAUAGACACUGCCUGAAUCACAUCUCCUGUCUUGGUACCUGUGGAAUUCCAACAGCACCAAUGCUCUUUUGUUGUUGUUACAGAACAUUAAUAGUCAAAUUAACAUUGUAUGGACUUCCUCAAGCUUUCCUUUUAAUAUCCAUGUACCUAAAGCAUUGGCCAAAUCUUGAAGGUUUUCUGUUUUGUUUGUUGGAUGCAGCUAUUUCCUUCUUCACAAACGUUGCCCUUCUGUCUUCAGGUCAAAGGGAUCAUGGGAAAUGAGAAUGCCACAUCAUGGACAGAGUUUCUUCUUGUGGGCCUCGUGCAUCUGAGGACACCCAACGUCUUCUUUGGUGCAAUUCUUCUCAUGGUUUUUGUUGCUUUGCUGGGAAAUGGUCUCCUCCUGAUCCUAAUCCAAAGAGACUCCUCCCUUCACGCCCCAAUGUAUUUUUUCCUCAGCCAACUGGCCUGCAUAGAUCUGGGCCAAAUCCUCGUUAUUGUCCCUAAAAUGUCUGCGAACUUUUUAGCCCACAGAAACACCAUCUCGCUCGGCGGUUGUGUGGCACAGAUUUUCCUCACGUUGACCGGGGGAGGUGCAGAAUGCCUGGUCCUGGCCGCCAUGUCUUACGACAGGUACGUGGCCAUCUGCAGGCCCUUGCAGUACCCCAUCCUCAUGCGGAGAACAACCUGCCUCAUGUUGACGGCUGGGAUCUGGUCUUUGUCAACGCUUUCCAUCAUGCCCAUUGCGAUCUUUGUCCAGUCUCUGCCUUACUGUGGGUCAAAUGUGAUUGAGCAUUAUGUUUGUGAUUUCCCAGCUUUACUGAAGUUGUCCUGUGCCGACACCUCUGCCUUUGAAAAACUGGUGUAUUUUGAUGACGUGGUCAUACUUCUCCUCCCUAUCUCAGUCAUCGCUGCCUCUUACAUCACCAUCCUUGUGCAAGUGCUGGGCAUGCGCUCAGUCAAAGGAAGACACAAGGCCUUAGGUACUUGCAUGUCCCACCUGUGUGUGGUGGGACUCUUCUAUGGGGCAGCUGCACUGACAUACGCCGUCCCAGUAUCCUCCUAUUCUGCACAAAGGGCCAUGAUCUACUCAAUGUGCACUACCAUCAUCCCCCCAAUGCUGAAUCCUUUUAUAUACAGCCUGCGCAACAGGGAUGUUCUAGCAGCCCUAAGGAAACUCUUUCUGAAUCAUGCCCCUCAUAAGUAAUUUCUAGAGCCGAAACGCCAUUUCGCAUAAGUUUGUAAUGUUCCUGGGUCAAACAGCAGCCACUGAGAAUGAGGAACAGUUUAAUAAAAAGAGCUGUAUUCAGAGCUGCCUCUUAGACCCUCUGUCUUCUGGGACGUGAGGCUGGUUUAGUAAACAAGUUUCCAUGCACUGGCAGUAAAGGUAAAGAAGAAGAAAAGGUUCCAAAUUAUUUAAAAGGAAAAGAAUUUGGUUUCAUUACAAAAAAGGAUCAUGCAGUCUUUGUGUACAUUGGCUCCCAGUACGUUUCCGAGCACAAUUCAAAGUGUUGGCGCUGACCUUUAAAGCCCUAAAUGGCCUUGGUCCAGUAUAUCUGAAGGAGCGUCUCCACCCCUAUUGUUCAGCCCAGACACAGAGGUCCUGCACUGAGGGCCUUCUGGCGGUUCCCUCACAUGUCAAAGAGACAAACAACUACCUGACAUUUAGAAGACAUCUGUAGGCAGCCCUGUUCAGGGAAGUUUUUAAUGUGUGACACUUUAAUGUAUUUUUAAUCUUUGUUGGAAGCUGGGGAGCGGCUGGGGAAACCCAGCCAGAUGGGCGGGGUACAAAUAAUAAAUUCUUAUUCUUAUUCUUAUUCUUCUUAUUGCAUCCUAAAAUUGCUUUCAAUAUCUGCAAGUACCUUCAAUGUUUUCUUUAAGGGGUGUGUGUGUGUGUGUGUGUUGCCAAUGAGCAAGCAGGCAGUGACAGCUUCUCCUCCUCCUCCUCAUCUCUGUUAUAGUUCGAGUGGUCAUCCCUUCUGGAGUGGCAGAGCAAGAGGAAGGUGAGCAAGCAGUUUGCAGACAUGAACAGGAGGCUGCUUGCUUGUUCCACAUUUCACAGUCGGCUCAGUUUUACAAAACUCAAAGGAAAAGCUCGUUCACAAUUUAUAUGGAUAGAUAAAGGGAGAAUAAUUUGAAUAACUGGGGACAUGCUGUAGUUAAGCAAAAGUCUAAGCUGGAAUUGAGACAUGCACAGCUGGCGAAAAUUCAGAAAGAUGGGAAAUGAAUAGAAAUUAGGAAAAGGUAUGUUAUUGUGAACAGCAAAGGAAGGAGAGAAAAGAAACAUCUGGAAGGGGGAUGGG